RNAcentral lists this ribosomal RNA (174 nucleotides) under uncultured Actinomycetes bacterium. RNAcentral's name for it is "uncultured actinobacterium partial 16S ribosomal RNA". It matches the Rfam family "Bacterial small subunit ribosomal RNA", at positions 339 to 525 of the family's 1533-position model. The record is from RNAcentral. Lineage: Bacteria; Bacillati; Actinomycetota; Actinomycetes.
UUACGGGAGGCAGCAGUGGGGAAUAUUGGGCAAUGGAGGAAACUCUGACCCAGCGACGCCGCGUGCGGGAUGAAGGCCUUCGGGUUGUAAACCGCUUUCAGUAGGGAAGAAGCGAAAGUGACGGUACCUACAGAAGAAGCACCGGCUAACUAUGUGCCAGCAGCCGCGGUAAUA